Long non-coding RNA from Lepus europaeus (European hare), 934 nucleotides. RefSeq lists it as uncharacterized. The record is from RefSeq and is a predicted model, not a curated record. The transcript is spliced from 3 exons. NCBI's taxonomy places the organism in Eukaryota, Metazoa, Chordata, Mammalia, Lagomorpha, Leporidae.
CCCAAGCCAAUCAGAAUCCGCCGCUUUCCACCUUCACUGACGGCGGAGGGCUGGAGGGCAGCGACGCUGGACACCUAGGAAGCUGACCACCACGACACGUGAUCUUGUGAAGAAACUUGGGGCCUGCCUCUUGGAGAAAGAGAGAAUAUGUUAGAGCCAGAACAAAUCACCAGACAUGUGAAUGAAGUCAUCUUUAAGACACCAGACUCAAUCAAGGCAUACACCUUUCAGUACUGACAAGAAGGCUGGCGUCACAUUUGGGCAAUGUCUCAAGAGCUGUCUGAAGACUCACUGAACAUCAAGUCUUUGAAAACACGUUUCCUUCUCAAUGGAAAUAUAAUCACCCCCUGAUGUUCUUCAAAAGAAACAGAGUUCUGAUCUGAAAAUCAGAUGGUUUAUAGUAUUAGGAAGAAAACAAUAAAUUUGAAAGUAUAAUCAAUUGGAAAGCAAAAGGGAAAGCCAUAGAAAACAUUUAUCUCAAGAACUUGGUGCUGAGGAUAAUCUCAAAUUCAUUUAGUGCAUUUUGUUAAAGAAAAAAAAAACUUGAAAGGAUAAAUCCUUCUUACAGUGUAUUUUUCCUUAUAAAACAUGAACUGAAGUUACUGGUAAUAAACAGUGACUGUUUCAAUGUUAGGGUUCAUUAUUAACAAUGUCAAAACAUGACAGCAGCAAUCUUUAAGAACCCAAAUUAGACCAAGAUAGGACUACAAAAAAUCUGAUGUUUCCAUUGGUAAAGUGCCCCUUUUCUUACUUUAAAUGAAAAGAAAAUUAAUUAAUCAUCAGGCACUAGCAACCAUCAUUUUGAGAGGUCUUUUAGGGCAAAAAUUGAAUAGUAUGAAGAGGUUUACAAAAAUAGAUUAAGAAAUAAUACUGUAAUUUUUUCUCAAUUCAGUUUUGAUAAAUUGUACCUAAUCAUACAAAAUCAUACAAAAAU